This 254-nucleotide ribosomal RNA is filed under the name uncultured bacterium. Its description in RNAcentral is "partial 16S ribosomal RNA". It matches the Rfam family "Bacterial small subunit ribosomal RNA", at positions 524 to 776 of the family's 1533-position model. The record is from RNAcentral.
UACGUAGGGUCCGAGCGUUUGUCCGGAAUUAUUGGGCGUAAAGGGCUCGUAGGCGGUUUGUCGCGUCGGGAGUGAAAACAGCGGGCUUAACUCGUUGCUUGCUUCCGAUACGGGCAGACUAGAGGUAUGCAGGGGAGAAUGGAAUUCCUGGUGUAGCGGUGAAAUGCGCAGAUAUCAGGAGGAACACCGGUGGCGAAGGCGGUUCUCUGGGCAUUACCUGACGCUGAGGAGCGAAAGUGUGGGGAGCGAACAGG